UAUUCAACUAUUCUCUAUAAAUUGAUAUGCUUUAAGGUAGUUUACAAUUUGUCUGCUAUUUUUUAACAAAGAUAACCUAAUUCAAUCCCCAAUACUAACAGCAUUGAACAUACAUAAAUUACUAACUCAUAUCGUAGUUGAUUUCAUUCUAAUGAAAGUAAAAAAAAAAAAAAACAGAGCACUGUGUUGAAUUGAACAGUUAUUUCAUUUCAAAUAAAGUAACAACGCAAAGAAAACCUAACGAGUAAAAGCAUACACAACAACAGUAACAUAAACCAGAAGCGCAAUAGGAACAAAGAUGAAAAGCGGAACAACCGCCGCUAAAGCAUGCGGACUCCCACAAGCAAGCGUUCCGAGCUUAAUCUGCACAACAUUCGCCAGCGCAAGCAUAAGAAAAGCGCAACCGGAAGCAGAUCCGAUACCGGAAACAAGCAUACCGACGCGGAGAGCAGAUCUGUUGAUAUGAGCUACAGCGGAGGAAGUGCGGGAGAGACGGAUAGCUUGUUUGAGUG
This 512-nucleotide long non-coding RNA is filed under the name Lathyrus oleraceus (garden pea). RNAcentral's name for it is "Pisum sativum (pea) long non-coding RNA (PSAT_LNC019149)". The record is from RNAcentral. Lineage: Eukaryota; Viridiplantae; Streptophyta; Magnoliopsida; Fabales; Fabaceae.